RNAcentral lists this long non-coding RNA (1357 nucleotides) under Mus pahari (shrew mouse). RNAcentral describes it as "lncRNA (MGP_PahariEiJ_G0004954.1)". The record is from RNAcentral. Lineage: Eukaryota; Metazoa; Chordata; Mammalia; Rodentia; Muridae.
AGAGAGAACAUACUGAAGCUGACUGGGACAGACUAGAGGGACCUCCGAGUGGAGACAGAUCUUGCUUUUCUGCCUAGUCACCUGUUCUUUUAAUGGAAGAAAGAGAACCCCGAUGUCAAAGGUCUGUGUCUUCUGCAAGGGUCACUUGUCUUGUUGCUGUGACAAAUCAGCUUAUGAGAGUCCCCAGCCCAGGCAUCAGGAUUGCCCACAUUGGUGGUGUUUCUCAUCUCAUCAAAUGAACCCAAGCUAGGUGCUCCUUCAUAGUCAUACUCUGAACUUUGUCUCUUCAGUGAUUCUAGGACCUGUCCAGUUGGCAAUGUUAAACAUCACCGUUUCUAUCUGAACUGGUACACUUGGCCAUAUGUAGUUGUCUUGAACUGGAUCUACUUCAGGGGUAGAUGGUUUGUAAAGAUCCCCCUUCCCCCCACAAAAGUGGGCUUUUCAAAAAUGGGGUCUAGGUCUAUAGGCCUCAGUAGGAUAUCCAGCCAUUGAACCCAUGCCAAGCCCCACACCGGAACCCCGAGGCUAAGACAGCCCAGCAGUUUACAUUUUCCCAGCCCUCUACUGGUCGAUCUGAAGCAGGAUCUAGGUGGAUCUACACCCAGGCUUAGGUAAGCCUCGGGUAAACAUUUCCUUCUGUGCCUGGGUUUGCUGAUGCCUGUUCCGCUGCAUUACUUGGCAUCUGUUGUCACUGGCACUUGUUUUGCCCCCAAGGAAACAAUAGUUGCCUCGGGGGUGAAGAUCCUGGUUCCCUGCUGGGCAGUUAAACUGCUAGUUAGGACAUCAAGGAGAAGUAAGUUUGUAGGGACACAGUUUGUUACCAGUGCUAUGUGCUGAGAUGACAUGCAUGUAACAGACAGCUCACUCUACCCUGAGAGUCCAUAGCCGAGGACUUUAUGAUCAAACACCAGGAAAAUGUGUGUGGGAACAGAGGAGCGCUUCAGUGCUCAGAGCACGGGUGGCUGUCCCCAGCUGCUACCCCAGGCCUGUUGAUCAGCCGGUUUCAGCCAUGCCAAAGCUCAGACCUACCAAGAGCUUCUCAGAACCCAUGCUUCAACAGCUCCCUGAGGUGUCAUCUAAUCCUGGGGCGCUGUGAACUAAAGGUUCUGUCUUCUGCUUGACUAGAGAUGUUUAUUAAAUAUAUCAAGUUUGGGGGGCUGGGGAGACGCCUCAGUAGUCAAGAGCACAGGCUACUCUUCCACAGGACCUGGGUUUGAUUCUCAGCACCCACAUGGUGGCUUACAACCGUCUCUAGUUCAAUUCAAGGGGAUCCCACACCUCGCACCCCUCCUUCCCCUCCAACGGCACCAGGCAUGAAUGUUGUGUACUGACAUGUAAGCACACAAAACACCCAUAC